AGUGAAGCGGCAACAGCUCAAAUUUGAAAUCUGGCCCUUGUGGUCCGAGUUGUAAUUUGUAGAGGAUGCUUUUGGUGAGGUACCUUCCGAGUUCCCUGGAACGGGACGCCAUAGAGGGUGAGAGCCCCGUCUGGUUGGAUACCGAUCCUCUGUAAAGCUCCUUCGACGAGUCGAGUAGUUUGGGAAUGCUGCUCUAAAUGGGAGGUAUAUGUCUUCUAAAGCUAAAUAUUGGCCAGAGACCGAUAGCGCACAAGUAGAGUGAUCGAAAGAUGAAAAGCACUUUGAAAAGAGGGUUAAAUAGUACGUGAAAUUGUUGAAAGGGAAGCGCUUGUGACCAGACUUGGGCUUGGUUAAUCAUCCAGGGUUCUCCCUGGUGCACUUGGCCAGCCCAGGCCAGCAUCAGUUUGUCGCGGGGGAUAAAGGCGUUGGGAAUGUGGCUCCCUCGGGAGUGUUAUAGCCCUUCGUGUAAUACCCUGCUUUAGACUGAGGUUCGCGCAUCUGCAAGGAUGCUGGCGUAAUGGUCAUCAGCGACCCGUCUUGAAACACGGACCAAGGAGUCGUCUUCGUAUGCGAGUGUUCGGGUGUCAAACCCCUACGCGUAAUGAAAGUGAACGCAGGUGAGAGCUUCGGCGCAUCAUCGACCGAUCCUGAUGUUCUCGGAUGGAUUUGAGUAAGAGCAUACGGGGCCGGACCCGAAAGAAGGUGAACUAUGCCUGUGUAGGGUGAAGCCAGAGGAAACUCUGGUGGAGGCUCGCAGCGGUUCUGACGUGCAAAUCGAUCGUCAAACAUGGGCAUGGGGGGCGAAAGACUA
RNAcentral lists this ribosomal RNA (811 nucleotides) under Nectria asiatica. RNAcentral describes it as "eukaryotic LSU rRNA". It matches the Rfam family "Eukaryotic large subunit ribosomal RNA", at positions 92 to 933 of the family's 3401-position model. Lineage: Eukaryota; Fungi; Ascomycota; Sordariomycetes; Hypocreales; Nectriaceae. The record is from RNAcentral.